CACGUAGGGCGCAAGCGUUGUCCGGAAUUAUUGGGCGUAAAGAGCUCGUAGGCGGUCUGUUGCGUCCGCUGUGAAAACCCAGGGCUUAACCCUGGGCUGGCAGUGGAUACGGACAGACUAGAGGUAGGUAGGGGAGAAUGGAAUUCCCGGUGUAGCGGUGAAAUGCGCAGAUAUCGGGAGGAACACCGGUGGCGAAGGCGGUUCUCUGGGCCUUACCUGACGCUGAGGAGCGAAAGCGUGGGGAGCGAACAGG
This 253-nucleotide ribosomal RNA is filed under the name uncultured bacterium. RNAcentral's name for it is "partial 16S ribosomal RNA". It matches the Rfam family "Bacterial small subunit ribosomal RNA", at positions 524 to 776 of the family's 1533-position model. The record is from RNAcentral.